This 255-nucleotide ribosomal RNA is filed under the name uncultured bacterium. RNAcentral's name for it is "partial 16S ribosomal RNA". It matches the Rfam family "Bacterial small subunit ribosomal RNA", at positions 524 to 776 of the family's 1533-position model. The record is from RNAcentral.
UACGUAGGGUGCAAGCGUUAAUCGGAAUUACUGGGCGUAAAGCGUGCGCAGGCGGUUAUAUAAGACAGUUGUGAAAUCCCCGGGCUCAACCUGGGAACUGCAUCUGUGACUGUAUAGCUAGAGUACGGUAGAGGGGGGAUGGAAUUCCGCGUGUAGCAGUGAAAUGCGUAGAUAUGCGGAGGAACACCGAUGGCGAAGGCAAUCCCCCUGGACCUGUACUGACGCUCAUGCACGAAAGCGUGGGGAGCAAACAGG